GAUGAACGCUGGCGGUAUGCUUAACACAUGCAAGUCGAACGGACUCUUCGGAGUUAGUGGCGGACGGGUGAGUAACGCGUGAGAAUCUGGCUUUGGGUUCGGGACAACCACUGGAAACGGUGGCUAAUACCGGAUGUGCCGAGAGGUAAAAGAGAAAUUGCCUGAAGAUGAGCUCGCGUCUGAUUAGCGAGUUGGUGAGGUAAAGGCUCACCAAGGCAGCGAUCAGUAGCUGGUCUGAGAGGAUGACCAGCCACACUGGGACUGAGACACGGCCCAGACUCCUACGGGAGGCAGCAGUGGGGAAUUUUCCGCAAUGGGCGAAAGCCUGACGGAGCAAUACCGCGUGAGGGAAGAAGGCUCUUGGGUUGUAAACCUCUUUUCUUAGGGAAGAACAAAAUGACGGUACCUAAGGAAUCAGCAUCGGCUAACUCCGUG
This 435-nucleotide ribosomal RNA is filed under the name uncultured bacterium. RNAcentral's name for it is "partial 16S ribosomal RNA". It matches the Rfam family "Bacterial small subunit ribosomal RNA", at positions 28 to 507 of the family's 1533-position model. The record is from RNAcentral.